UUUUAUGAAUGAAAUUUAGAGUUGUCAUAACAGAAAAAUUUGGAAUUUGGUAUUGUUGUGGCGAAUAUUUUCGUACAUUUUCACAUUUCAAAAACUUUGG
Molecule: long non-coding RNA, 100 nt
Organism: Bradysia coprophila
Lineage: Eukaryota; Metazoa; Arthropoda; Insecta; Diptera; Sciaridae
Source: RefSeq, a predicted model, not a curated record